UACGUAGGGGCCUAGCGUUGUCCGGAUUUAUUGGGCGUAAAGAGCUCGUAGGCGGUUCGGCAAGUCGGAUGUGAAAUCUCCACGCUCAACGUGGAGGGGCCAUUCGAAACUGCCGUGACUCGAGUCCGGUAGGGGAGUGUGGAAUUCCCGGUGUAGCGGUGAAAUGUGUAGAGAUCGGGAGGAACACCGGUGGCGAAGGCGGUCUUCUGGACGGUGACUGACGCUGAGGCGCGAAAGCGUGGGGAGCAAAACGG
RNAcentral lists this ribosomal RNA (254 nucleotides) under uncultured bacterium. RNAcentral describes it as "partial 16S ribosomal RNA". It matches the Rfam family "Bacterial small subunit ribosomal RNA", at positions 524 to 776 of the family's 1533-position model. The record is from RNAcentral.